RNAcentral lists this ribosomal RNA (450 nucleotides) under uncultured bacterium. RNAcentral describes it as "partial 16S ribosomal RNA". It matches the Rfam family "Bacterial small subunit ribosomal RNA", at positions 28 to 523 of the family's 1533-position model. The record is from RNAcentral.
GAUGAACGCUGGCGGCGUGCCUAUACAUGCCAGUCGAACGAGGUCUUCGGACCUAGUGGCGAACGGGUGAGUAACACGUUGGUACCUACCCCGUAGUGGGGAAUAACUGCCCGAAAGGGUGGCUAAUACCGCAUAAUACCGCAAGGUUAAAGCAGUAAUGCGCUUCGGGAGGGGCCUGCGUCCCAUUAGCUAGUUGGUAGGGUAAUGGCCUACCAAGGCGACGAUGGGUAGCUGGAUCGAGAGGUUGACCAGCCACACUGGGACUGAGAUACGGCCCAGACACCUACGGGAGGCAGCAGUAAGGAAUUUUCCACAAUGGACGAAAGUCUGAUGGAGCAACGCCGCGUGCAGGAUGACGGCCUUCGGGUUGUAAACUGCUUUUAUACGGGAAGAUUAUGACGGUACCGUAUGAAUAAGGACCGGCUAACUACGUGCCAGCCGCCGCCGUAA